This 31-nucleotide non-coding RNA is filed under the name Rattus norvegicus (Norway rat). The record is from RNAcentral. Lineage: Eukaryota; Metazoa; Chordata; Mammalia; Rodentia; Muridae.
GGAUACCAAGUCAAUUAUAUAAAUCUAUAGA